RNAcentral lists this ribosomal RNA (200 nucleotides) under uncultured bacterium. RNAcentral describes it as "partial 16S ribosomal RNA". It matches the Rfam family "Bacterial small subunit ribosomal RNA", at positions 524 to 723 of the family's 1533-position model. The record is from RNAcentral.
UACGGAGGGUGCGAGCGUUAUCCGGAUUUACUGGGUUUAAAGGGUGUGUAGGCGGACUAUUAAGUCAGUGGUGAAAUCUUCAGGCUCAACCUGGAAACUGCCGUUGAUACUAUUAGUCUUGAAUACUGUGGAGGUGAGCGGAAUGUGUCAUGUAGCGGUGAAAUGCAUAGAGAUGACACAGAACACCGAUUGCGAAGGCA